GACGAACGCUGGCGGCGUGCUUAACACAUGCAAGUCGAACGAGAAGAGAUGAGAAGCUUGCUUCUUAUCAAUUCGAGUGGCAAACGGGUGAGUAACGCGUAAGCAACCUGCCCUCUAGAUGGGGACAACAGCUGGAAACGGCUGCUAAUACCGAAUACGUUUUUUCUGUCGCAUGGCAGAGGGAAGAAAGGGAGGCUCUUCGGAGCUUUCGCUGGAGGAGGGGCUUGCGUCUGAUUAGCUAGUUGGAGGGGUAACGGCCCACCAAGGCGACGAUCAGUAGCCGGUCUGAGAGGAUGAACGGCCACAUUGGGACUGAGACACGGCCCAGACUCCUACGGGAGGCAGCAGUGGGGAAUCUUCCGCAAUGGACGAAAGUCUGACGGAGCAACGCCGCGUGAACGAUGACGGCCUUCGGGUUGUAAAGUUCUGUUAUACGGGACGAAUGGUGCGACGGUCAAUACCCGUCGUAAGUGACGGUACCGUAAGAGAAAGCCACGGCUAACUACGUGCCAGCAGCCGCGGUAAUACGUAGGUGGCAAGCGUUGUCCGGAAUUAUU
Molecule: ribosomal RNA, 557 nt
Filed under: uncultured Megasphaera sp.
Lineage: Bacteria; Bacillati; Bacillota; Negativicutes; Veillonellales; Veillonellaceae
Description: bacterial SSU rRNA
Rfam family: Bacterial small subunit ribosomal RNA
Source: RNAcentral